This 502-nucleotide unclassified non-coding RNA is filed under the name Hevea brasiliensis (rubber tree). The record is from RNAcentral. Lineage: Eukaryota; Viridiplantae; Streptophyta; Magnoliopsida; Malpighiales; Euphorbiaceae.
CGGACCAUGAAAUAGCAUACAGUGCCAGAAAGAAAGGUGAUCAGUAUCAGAAAUGGCAUUGCAGAUAAGGUAUUGCUCACGACAAAUGCAAAAACACCAUAGUGCCCAUUCAUCCUCUCUCUUUGAAAAACCUUCAUAUCUUCGACGAAAGAAGGGAAUCCUCCAAUUGACAUGAAUGUCACAAAUCCAAAGACGAAUGAUGCACAUGCUCCUCUUGCCAGGAUGGAACUAUAACCGGUUCCCACGUUAAGAUAGAUAGUUCCAAUGCAGAUAGUGACCACCAAGUAGAUAACAAGCCUCAACCAGUAAUAACCAAAGUCUCUUGACAUGUUAACAAAGGAACGUUUCGUUAAGGUGUAGGCCUGCAUAAAGAAACUAGCCUGACUUCCUCCAGAAUCUAGCACUGUUCCUUUAACUUUCGACAUUUCUUCAACCCUUUCAUUAGCUGAGUAGCUGUACUGAGAACGACGAUAAUAGUCUACUAAGAUGCGUAUAGCUUCAG